Molecule: ribosomal RNA, 618 nt
Filed under: uncultured Alphaproteobacteria bacterium
Lineage: Bacteria; Pseudomonadati; Pseudomonadota; Alphaproteobacteria
Description: bacterial SSU rRNA
Rfam family: Bacterial small subunit ribosomal RNA
Source: RNAcentral
AACGAACGCUGGCGGCAGGCCUAAUACAUGCAAGUCGAGCGCGCCCUUCGGGGUGAGCGGCGGACGGGUGAGUAACGCGUGGGAAUAUGCCCUUCUCUAAGGAAUAGCCUCUGGAAACGGAGAGUAAUACCUUAUACGCCCUUUGGGGGAAAGAUUUAUCGGAGAAGGAUUAGCCCGCGUUAGAUUAGGUAGUUGGUGGGGUAAUGGCCUACCAAGCCUACGAUCUAUAGCUGGUUUGAGAGGAUGAUCAGCCACACUGGGACUGAGACACGGCCCAGACCCCUACGGGAGGCAGCAGUAGGGAAUCUUAGACAAUGGGGGCAACCCUGAUCUAGCCAUGCCGCGUGUGUGAUGAAGGCCCUAGGGUCGUAAAGCACUUUCGCCAGAGAUGAUAAUGACAGUAUCUGGUAAAGAAACCCCGGCUAACUCCGUGCCAGCAGCCGCGGUAAUACGGAGGGGGUUAGCGUUGUUCGGAAUUACUGGGCGUAAAGCGCACGUAGGCGGAUUAGUAAGUUAGAGGUGAAAUCCCAGGGCUCAACCCUGGAACUGCCUUUAAUACUGCUAGUCUUGAGUUCGAGAGAGGUAAGUGGAAUUCCGAGUGUAGAGGUGAAAUUCGUA